RNAcentral lists this transfer RNA (72 nucleotides) under Pteropus alecto (black flying fox). It matches the Rfam family "tRNA". Rfam says of the family: Transfer RNA (tRNA) molecules are approximately 80 nucleotides in length. Their secondary structure includes four short double-helical elements and three loops (D, anti-codon, and T loops). The record is from Rfam by way of RNAcentral. Lineage: Eukaryota; Metazoa; Chordata; Mammalia; Chiroptera; Pteropodidae.
GGUUCCAUAGUGUAGCGGUUAGCACAUCUGCUUUAUACGCAGAAGGUCUGGGUUCACUCCCCAGUGGAGCCA